CUUUCUUUUCUCGCUGAAAUUCUCGGCUUUUCAGAUUUAUUCCGUGAAACAAAAAAGAGAAAAAAAAAACUUAUUUCCACAGAAAACUAACCUAACCUGCCGCAAGAGAAUUAAAGUGUGUAGGUUUCUAAUUUGUGCAAAUUAAACAAGGCAUUGGAAAUGGUUGGCUGUUGACACUUUUAUUUUGAACAAUGUUACGGCUUGCAAGAGUACAUGAGCUUCCUCUGGAGGAAUUUUCUAAGCAAAGUUUUGCGUUUUGUGCUAAAUAUUACAUCGGAAGUAGGAUCUAAAAUAAAUGUGCAAGAUAUUGAUAGGGGCGACGUUGAGAAUCAUUUUGCACCGGGGCAUUGAUUAUUGGUCAAACCAGAAGCAACUUUCCAUUUGUGGGACACAUUAGCAUGUAUAUUGAUCCGCAAGAAAUGGUGAAAGUCAAAGUACCGAAGUUGUUUAACGGUGUAAUGGGGAAAAUAUAGAGAAAAUGAAUGAAGCAUUCCUGAGUCCCUAGGCACACUAAGAUUCUCUCAUAUCAAGCUAUGUUGCAUAUGUAAUUAUGUAUGAGUUAAGCAUACAACUAUUCCUAGAAACAAACCCUGCUGGUGGCGCAGGUAUCAGGGGUGUAAUUUUUGCCCGGCAGCCCGCCCAGUACCGUCCGUAUUGUUCCAUGACAGCCCAUGGGUGACCGUGGUCCUUUACGGGCUGACCCGACCUAGCCCAUUUAAAUAAGAGGGCGAGCACAUGCCACAAUUCAAAUUUUCUUGUCCGGCCCAAUACCCUUCAUAUUAUCCCGUCAAUGCUACCCGCCAUGUUAGCCCGCCAGUAUUAUCCAUUUACCUAGCCUAAGUGAUUGUUCUCAUUUGUUUUAUCCUAGAAUAUACUUGGUACAUAUACU
Molecule: long non-coding RNA, 889 nt
Organism: Papaver somniferum (opium poppy)
Lineage: Eukaryota; Viridiplantae; Streptophyta; Magnoliopsida; Ranunculales; Papaveraceae
Exons: 3
Source: RefSeq, a predicted model, not a curated record